UACGUAGGCAGCGAGCGUUGUUCGGAGUUACUGGGCGUAAAGGGUGUGUAGGCGGUUGUUUAAGUUUGGUGUGAAAUCUCCCGGCUCAACUGGGAGGGUGCGUCGAAUACUGAAUGACUUCGAGUGCGGGAGAGGAGAGUGGAAUUCCUGGUGUAGCGGUGAAAUGCGUAGAUAUCAGGAGGAACACCGGUGGUGUAGACGGCUCUCUGGACCGUAACUGACGCUGAGACACGAAAGCGUGGGUAGCAAACAGG
This 254-nucleotide ribosomal RNA is filed under the name uncultured bacterium. RNAcentral's name for it is "partial 16S ribosomal RNA". It matches the Rfam family "Bacterial small subunit ribosomal RNA", at positions 524 to 776 of the family's 1533-position model. The record is from RNAcentral.